Molecule: ribosomal RNA, 807 nt
Filed under: Occidozyga cf. laevis KU 308874
Lineage: Eukaryota; Metazoa; Chordata; Amphibia; Anura; Dicroglossidae
Description: partial large subunit ribosomal RNA
Rfam family: Bacterial large subunit ribosomal RNA
Source: RNAcentral
UUCAUCUUUUAUUAUUAACCCAUCAUCAGUAUUGAAUAAAUUCAUAAAUUAUGAAAAAUACCAUGCUAGAACUAGUAACAAGAAAAUGAAUUUCUCCAAAGCGUAAGCAUAACCCAAAAUGGACAAUCCAUUGGUGAUUAGCGGCCCUGAACACAUUAUAGUAAAUUAUCUAGAAAACUCUAUACUUAACACCGUUAACCUUACACAAGAACCCUCCCUGGAAAGAUUAAAAGGAAGAGAAGGAACUCGGCAAAUUUUAACCCCGCCUGUUUACCAAAAACAUCGCCUCUUGCUCAAAUAUAAGAGGUCCAGCCUGCCCAGUGUUUUAAUCAACGGCCGCGUGAUUUAAGCGCGCGAAGGUAGCAUAAUCAUUUGUUCUUUAAAUGAGGACUAGUAUCAAUGGCAUCACGAGGGUUAUACUGUCUCCUCUCCCCAAUCAGUGAAACUAAUCUCCCUGUGAAAAAGCAGGGAUAGAACUAUAAGACGAGAAGACCCCAUGGAGCUUAAAACGCAGCAACAACCAUAAUAUUACAAUCAAUAUAAUUUUUAAACCCUGUAUGCUAGUUUUAGGUUGGGGUGACCGCGGAGCAAAACAAAGCCUCCACAACGAAAAGGGACUACACCCUUAUCCAAGAGACACUUCUCUAAGAAUUAUUAUAAUAACGUUUAAUGAUCCGACUAUCGAUCAACGGACCAAGUUACCCUGGGGAUAACAGCGCAAUCCACUCUGAGAGCUCCUAUCGACGAAUGGGCUUACGAACCUCGAUGUUGGAUCAGGGUACCCCAGUGGCGCAGCGCUGCUAAAGG